UACGAAGGGGGCGAGCGUUGUUCGGAUUUACUGGGCGUAAAGGGCGCGCAGGCGGCCGCUCAAGUCAGGCGUGAAAGCCCCGGGCUUAACCUGGGAACUGCGUCUGGGACUGAGAGGCUAGAGUUCGGGAGAGGAGAGUGGAAUUCCCAGUGUAGAGGUGAAAUUCGUAGAUAUUGGGAAGAACACCGGUGGCGAAGGCGGCUCUCUGGACCGAGACUGACGCUGAGGCGCGAAAGCGUGGGGAGCAAACAGG
This 253-nucleotide ribosomal RNA is filed under the name uncultured bacterium. RNAcentral describes it as "partial 16S ribosomal RNA". It matches the Rfam family "Bacterial small subunit ribosomal RNA", at positions 524 to 776 of the family's 1533-position model. The record is from RNAcentral.